AGAAUCAACGCUGGCGGCGUGCCUAACACAUGCAAGUCGAACGAGAAAGUGGAGCAAUCCAUGAGUAAAGUGGCGCACGGGUGAGUAACACGUGACUAACCUACCUUUUAGUGGGGGAUAACCUAGGGAAACCUGGGCUAAUACCGCAUAACACUUACGAGUCAAAGCAGCAAUGCGCUGAAAGAGGGGGUCGCGGCCGAUUAGCUAGUUGGCGGGGUAAUGGCCCACCAAGGCUACGAUCGGUAGCUGGUCUGAGAGGACGACCAGCCACACUGGGACUGAGACACGGCCCAGACUCCUACGGGAGGCAGC
This 312-nucleotide ribosomal RNA is filed under the name uncultured prokaryote. RNAcentral describes it as "bacterial SSU rRNA". It matches the Rfam family "Bacterial small subunit ribosomal RNA", at positions 26 to 352 of the family's 1533-position model. The record is from RNAcentral.